RNAcentral lists this ribosomal RNA (1038 nucleotides) under Triticum aestivum (bread wheat). Its description in RNAcentral is "partial small subunit ribosomal RNA". The record is from RNAcentral. Lineage: Eukaryota; Viridiplantae; Streptophyta; Magnoliopsida; Poales; Poaceae.
AUGGCGCAGCAAAGCGGCAAUGAUCUGAAGGCUGUAAUGGAGAAGCUGCUCCAGGCGUUCGAGGACGAAGUGGACAGUGAGCUGCCUCACAGGGCGGAGCUGGACCACAUCUUCCGCAUCCUCAAGGCAAACAAGGAGAAGAUCAUCUCGGAGCCACCGGAGGUGGGGAAGAAGGAGAAGCUGCCCGAGCUGCUGCGCAGUAUCGGCGAUGCCCUGCAGCAAUGCAAGGCACGGUCCAAGCAGCAGCAGUCUGAGUCUGACAAGGCCAAGAGCAAGAAGAUGACGAUGCCGUCGGUGAGCGACUGCAACCCUUUCAAGUCUCGACCCUCGCAGCUGUCCGUCGACCCCUUGCUGGAGCAGACCAUCGCCAUUCUCGGCGAUGUUCCUCCUCCUUCUCCUUCCCCUGAUCAGGAUGCAGGAGAGGAGGCCGUGACGGAGUACUACCAGUGGACAACGAGCUACGUGGAUGAGAGCCGGAUAUACGGCUGGGACAAGGAAGCCAACGAUGUGGUCGACGCCCUCGUCGGCAAGGAGGGGGAGGAGGAGGAUCAGGUGCUGUUCAGGACGGCGGGCAUCGCCGGGAUCCACGGCAGCGGCAAGACGGCGCUGGCGCAGAAGGUGUUCGUCCACGACAGGAUCAAGGACGCCUUCCCUCUCCGGCUCUGGGUUUGCGUGGGCCCGCCGGACCACGAGGACAGGUUCAACCUCCUCUACCGGAUGCUCGACAACCUCGGCCUCGACACCGCCAAGGUGGAGGACAUCGUCGACAAGGCCGACGUGGUCGUCAAGGCAGCCACCGACGAGGACAAGAUCAAGUCCAGGAUCGGCGUGCUGCUCUUCAUCCUCUACGUGACGCUGUACAAGACGGGGUACCUUAUCGUGUUCGACGACAUGAGGGCGUACAGCGACUGGUACAGCAACCUGACGCUGCAGCCACCCAAGGACGGCGAGUGGUACGAGCGGCUCGCCUACGGCCUGCCCAAGGCAGGAAGAGCGCCGUGCUCGUCACCAGCCGCAGCGAGGACGGCGCCAGGGUGA